RNAcentral lists this long non-coding RNA (601 nucleotides) under Theobroma cacao (cacao). RNAcentral's name for it is "long non-coding RNA (TCAC_LNC001358)". The record is from RNAcentral. Lineage: Eukaryota; Viridiplantae; Streptophyta; Magnoliopsida; Malvales; Malvaceae.
UAUUUUAGCACUGUAUUAACUAAUCAAAGGAAUGAUUCUAUUGCAAAAUGUGCGGCCAAACAAAAUCAAUCAAGGUCGCUCGCUAAUCCCUUAGCUAAAAGUCAUCAUAUUCGUCAGUCGUCCCUUCAACUUUGCCCAAUCCUUUACAUUCUCAUCAAAUCGACAAAAAACACACGAAAAAGAAAAAGAAAGGAACCGCUCAUAUGAAACUUUUAACGAGACUACGACUCCUUGGCUGCUUUCUCAAUUGCCGUCACGUGUCGAUUUUGGCAGAAGUUGCGUUGAAUUUUCUUCAACUUUUGUGAAGAGUCAUCACCUCUGUAUUCGGUACAAGUUGUACUAUUUCAGUUGGCAAGAAUUUUAAUUUGCUGGGGCACAGAGACCAAUUGUUCAUGUUUUUGGGGGUCUGUUUUUUCCCCGCUACCUAGAAAUAUAGGCUUUGAUAGCUAGAGUCACGGUGCAGCACCCAUUGUAUGUAGUACUAGUGUUAUUCAAUGUUUAUAGAAAGGGGCUCUAUGACAAAUUGGACAGAGCCUAAACAAGUAACAACUAAUUAAACAAAAUGUAAAGAAUUCUACCCAGUUUCGUAUGUAAUGGAGAC